UACGUAGGGGGCAAGCGUUAUCCGGAAUCACUGGGCGUAAAGGGUGCGUAGGCGGUCCUUCAAGCCAGAGGUAAAAGGCAUUGGCUUAACCAAUGUAAGCCUUUGGAACUGUGGGACUUGAGUGUAGGAGAGGUAAGUGGAAUUCCUAGUGUAGCGGUGAAAUGCGUAGAUAUUAGGAGGAACACCAGUGGCGAAGGCGACUUACUGGACUAUAACUGACGCUGAGGCACGAAAGCGUGGGGAGCAAACAGG
This 252-nucleotide ribosomal RNA is filed under the name uncultured bacterium. RNAcentral's name for it is "partial 16S ribosomal RNA". It matches the Rfam family "Bacterial small subunit ribosomal RNA", at positions 524 to 776 of the family's 1533-position model. The record is from RNAcentral.